GGCGUGCCUAAUACAUGCAAGUCGAACGCUUCUUUUUCCACCGGAGCUUGCUCCACCGGAAAAAGAGGAGUGGCGAACGGGUGAGUAACACGUGGGUAACCUGCCCAUCAGAAGGGGAUAACACUUGGAAACAGGUGCUAAUACCGUAUAACAAUCAAAACCGCAUGGUUUUGAUUUGAAAGGCGCUUUCGGGUGUCGCUGAUGGAUGGACCCGCGGUGCAUUAGCUAGUUGGUGAGGUAACGGCUCACCAAGGCCACGAUGCAUAGCCGACCUGAGAGGGUGAUCGGCCACAUUGGGACUGAGACACGGCCCAAACUCCUACGGGAGGCAGCAGUAGGGAAUCUUCGGCAAUGGACGAAAGUCUGACCGAGCAACGCCGCGUGAGUGAAGAAGGUUUUCGGAUCGUAAAACUCUGUUGUUAGAGAAGAACAAGGAUGAGAGUAACUGUUCAUCCCUUGACGGUAUCUAACCAGAAAGCCACGGCUAACUACGUGCCAGCAGCCGCGGUAAUACGUAGGUGGUAAGCGUUGUCCGGAUUUAUUGGGCGUAAAGCGAGCGCAGGCGGUUUCUUAAGUCUGAUGUGAAAGCCCCCGGCUCAACCGGGGAGGGUCAUUGGAAACUGGGAGACUUGAGUGCAGAAGAGGAGAGUGGAAUUCCAUGUGUAGCGGUGAAAUGCGUAGAUAUAUGGAGGAACACCAGUGGCGAAGGCGGCUCUCUGGUCUGUAACUGACGCUGAGGCU
Molecule: ribosomal RNA, 741 nt
Filed under: uncultured Bacilli bacterium
Lineage: Bacteria; Bacillati; Bacillota; Bacilli
Description: bacterial SSU rRNA
Rfam family: Bacterial small subunit ribosomal RNA
Source: RNAcentral